AAAUUGAAGAGUUUGAUCAUGGCUCAGAUUGAACGCUGGCGGCAGGCCUAACACAUGCAAGUCGAACGGUAGCACAGAGAGCUUGCUCUCGGGUGACGAGUGGCGGACGGGUGAGUAAUGUCUGGGAAACUGCCUGAUGGAGGGGGAUAACUACUGGAAACGGUGGCUAAUACCGCAUAACGUCGCAAGACCAAAGAGGGGGACCUUCGGGCCUCUUGCCAUCAGAUGUGCCCAGA
Molecule: ribosomal RNA, 236 nt
Filed under: Salmonella enterica subsp. enterica serovar Infantis
Lineage: Bacteria; Pseudomonadati; Pseudomonadota; Gammaproteobacteria; Enterobacterales; Enterobacteriaceae
Also listed under: 3 other names
Description: partial 16S ribosomal RNA
Rfam family: Bacterial small subunit ribosomal RNA
Source: RNAcentral